ACUUGUAUAGCUUAAUAUUUAAAGCACAGCUCUGAAAAGGCUUAGAUGGUAUAUUACCUAUAAGUA
RNAcentral lists this transfer RNA (66 nucleotides) under Eunoe nodosa. RNAcentral describes it as "tRNA-Phe". It matches the Rfam family "tRNA". Rfam says of the family: Transfer RNA (tRNA) molecules are approximately 80 nucleotides in length. Their secondary structure includes four short double-helical elements and three loops (D, anti-codon, and T loops). Lineage: Eukaryota; Metazoa; Annelida; Polychaeta; Phyllodocida; Polynoidae. The record is from RNAcentral.